Molecule: long non-coding RNA, 877 nt
Organism: Capsicum annuum
Lineage: Eukaryota; Viridiplantae; Streptophyta; Magnoliopsida; Solanales; Solanaceae
Exons: 2
Source: RefSeq, a predicted model, not a curated record
CAUAACAGCCCCAAUUGUUUUCCCUUUUUUAAACUGGCAAACAGGCCCAAUCCGUUCUACCCAACCAGCCCACCAGCAGCUCCCACCAACACACCGACCCAACAGGCCCAAUACCCCUGACCCGCUCCAAGCCCCGCUCCCAUUCCCUUUUUACCCACAUCUCAAUCCAAACAGCAACAUCAGUUUUCAACAAACAACAAUUAACGACAACAGCCAACGACUUCAAAACCAGGACCAACAAAUUCAACAUUGUCAACUGCAAUCUCGACAACAACAACCAGCGAGUCAACAACGGUGACCCCCCAGACGCCCUUUUACUAUUUUGCCCCUCCGUUCAGCCAUCUAUGGCAAAAAUUAAAUGGGUUACUCUUUCUCAGUCUUUGAUUCACCAUUUCGGGUAAGCAAUUAAUGCCCAACGGCUCUCUACUUUGUCUCACUGUGGAAUUCAAAGUUUCUCAACAAAUCAACUCAAAUUCCCAAUUCGAAUGGUUUCCUCGAGAAUUAAUGCCCAACGGCUCUCUAACAAGUUGAAAACGAAACUCCGGCGGUGGUAAGUCUUUAAUCGACUCGCAGUUCCAGUUCGCUGCCCCGGGAAAGCAGGAUCUGUCGACAUCACACUUGUAACACAAGAAGGAGUCUUUUUUCCAUGAUCAGUUAAAAAAGCCUUGGAGACCCACUCCUUUGUUGAAAGUUACUCUACACUUUUCCCUUCUUUUAUGUUGUUCUUCUCCUCAUUCACCAUCUAUGUAAUAUUAUUAUUAGUUGUUGCAACUGAUUGUUCUUGAAUAUCAUCUGUCAGGGGUUGAAAUAAAUUCUCAUUGCUUUUAUCCUUGUUAGGAGUAACUUCUUUCUAACUUAAUUAACCUAUAUUGAUGAA